GGCGGCCUGGGCCGCGGCGGCCGCCGCCUCGGAGGCGUCACGGUGCCGGUUCAGGGCCUGGCCGGCCGCCA
RNAcentral lists this transfer RNA (71 nucleotides) under Streptomyces chartreusis. RNAcentral's name for it is "tRNA-Pro". The record is from RNAcentral. Lineage: Bacteria; Bacillati; Actinomycetota; Actinomycetes; Kitasatosporales; Streptomycetaceae.